ACAGCUGAUCGGGUUCUUGCGGCGAUGCGUCCCGGCGCCGGGGAGUUCCGCGCGUGUCCUCGGGCUGUCCGCGGGGAAGCUGGCCCGGGAGUGGUCGCCCGCCCGCCUCGCGCCUUGCGCCCCCGGCACCGCUUCCAGAAGGGAAAGUCGCCGCCGCUCGCGGUGGACCCGGGCAGCGCUUGCAUUCCGCGGAGCUGAAAAUCUGAAUCUAAUAAAAAUGUGAACAUCUACUACGAGGAAUAUCCACUGCAAUCAUUUUACUC
Molecule: small RNA, 263 nt
Filed under: Pongo abelii (Sumatran orangutan)
Lineage: Eukaryota; Metazoa; Chordata; Mammalia; Primates; Hominidae
Description: processed transcript
Source: RNAcentral